This 254-nucleotide ribosomal RNA is filed under the name uncultured bacterium. RNAcentral describes it as "partial 16S ribosomal RNA". It matches the Rfam family "Bacterial small subunit ribosomal RNA", at positions 524 to 776 of the family's 1533-position model. The record is from RNAcentral.
UACGUAGGGUGCAAGCGUUAUCCGGAAUUAUUGGGCGUAAAGCGUGCGCAGGCGGUUCGUUGUGUCGGCGGUGAAAGCCCCGGGCUUAACCUGGGAAUGGCCGUUGAAACUGGCGAACUGGAGUGUGGCAGAGGGGGGUGGAAUUCCGACGUGUAGCAGUGAAAUGCGUAGAGAUGUGGAGGAACACCGAUGGCGAAGGCAGCCCCCUGGGCCAAAACUGACGCUCAGGCACGAAAGCGUGGGGAGCAAACAGG